CUCUCUACCGCACAGACCCCCACUCUCUUAUCCUCUCCACCGCCCAGCACCCAUCUCUUCUAUCUUCUCCCCAUCUCUCCUCUCUCCCACGCCAUAGAGGCCAGGCUGGUGGAUGGAGCCCAUGUGCCGGAAGCUCACUGCCAAGGUGGUCUGGGUCAUGAGCAGCUUCAUCGUCUGCAUCGCCAUGGCCAUGGUCACCAUCCUCAGCUCCUGUCGCUCGAGGUAAGCUAUAGCGGCAGGCGGGGCUGAGCUCAAGCUCGGGAUGGUGCUACUAGAUGUGCUACUAGAUUUGGCCGCACGAGAUUGGCGCUCCUUUUCUCUCUCCCAUGCUUGCACAUACAAGAAUCAAGACCGAUGGUUGCAUCUGUAUAGUUUUCUUCCGUUGCUUUGUCUUGCUUGCUUGAUGGGAAUUGGACCUUUGAUUCGUUUGUUGUUGAGGAGAUGAACAGGUGGUGUGGUGCUCACCCUGCCCGACGGCAAGCUUGCGGGAUGCAGGAUGCACUUGGCGUAUGCUCGGUCCCUGUUCGUGGAUGGACCGGCGGCGGCUCCCUCUUGCGGAUCCAGGCAUGAAGCGGCCAGAUCCGGCGAGGAGGCAUCACGCUUAGUCGCUUGGACGCCACGGAGGUGGCGGCGAGCAGCCGUACGGCGGGGAGCCACUGGCCGCACCAGACGGAUGGGCCGCACGGCCAGAGCAAGCCAUGGCCGUUCCCGUGCCUGCGCCCGCCGAGCACCAUGCAGUUCCCCUUCGAGAACAAAGUGUAUGCAAGUGUAUGCAUGCAAAGUGUACUGUGAAGUCGUUGAUUUGAAAUAUCCAAGACAAGAACUUGAAGGACUGUUCAAGGCGAUACUGACAAUAUUCAAGCGAAUGCUGAAGCUAUAGCAAUAUUCAAGCGAAUGCUGAAGCUAUAGGUGGCUUGAUGAUGAAGGGGGCGAAAGCUUAAGUUCCAUUUUUUCAGAAAAAUGAGGAACUGUGCUGAUAAGCUAUGGUUUUUGUUGUUGUCCCUAGAACGAAGGGCGGUUAAAUAGCCCAACCAAGUGCUUUGAUGACUUUAUAAUCACCAUGAGAUUAUCACGUUUCCUAUUAUGGGGUAAUGGGAAAUGUUUACUUAUCUGAUUUUUGUUUCUUAUUAUACUAGAUAAAUUAGCAAC
This is a long non-coding RNA of Panicum virgatum (switchgrass), 1149 nucleotides long. RefSeq lists it as uncharacterized. The transcript has 2 exons. Lineage: Eukaryota; Viridiplantae; Streptophyta; Magnoliopsida; Poales; Poaceae. The record is from RefSeq and is a predicted model, not a curated record.